CCUACGGGAGGCAGCAGUAGGGAAUUUUCGUCAAUGGGCGCAAGCCUGAACGAGCGAUGCCGCGUGAGUGAAGAAGGCCUUCGGGUCGUAAAGCUCUGUUGCGGGGGAAAAAAGGCAGCAUCAGGAAAUGGGUGCUGACUGAUGGUGCCCCGCCAGAAAGUCACGGCUAACUACGUGCUAGCAGCCGCGGUAAUACGAAGGUGGCGAGCGUUAUCCGGAAUGAUUGGGCGAAAAGGGCGCGCAGGCGGUCCUGCAAGUCUGGAGGGAAACGCGUGGGCUCAACCCAUGCAUGGAUUUGGAAGCUGGAGGACUGGAGUGCAGGAGAGGGCGGUGGAACUCCUUGUGUAGCGGUAAAAUGCGUAGAUAUAAGGAAGAACACCAGUGGCGAAGGCGGCCGCCUGGACUGUUGCUGACGCUGAGGCACGAAAGCGUGGGGAGCAAAUAGGAUUAGAUACCCCUGUAGUC
Molecule: ribosomal RNA, 465 nt
Filed under: uncultured bacterium
Lineage: Bacteria
Description: partial 16S ribosomal RNA
Rfam family: Bacterial small subunit ribosomal RNA
Source: RNAcentral